This 27-nucleotide small RNA is filed under the name Bombyx mori (domestic silkworm). RNAcentral's name for it is "ovarian small RNA-23378". Lineage: Eukaryota; Metazoa; Arthropoda; Insecta; Lepidoptera; Bombycidae. The record is from RNAcentral.
UAUAGAUGUGGCAAAACAAGUGAUGCG